Molecule: ribosomal RNA, 822 nt
Filed under: Melanelixia glabra
Lineage: Eukaryota; Fungi; Ascomycota; Lecanoromycetes; Lecanorales; Parmeliaceae
Description: eukaryotic LSU rRNA
Rfam family: Eukaryotic large subunit ribosomal RNA
Source: RNAcentral
GGGAUUGCCUCAGUAACGGCGAGUGAAGCGGCAACAGCUCAAAUUUGAAAUCUGGCUCCUUCGGGGUCCGAGUUGUAAUUUGUAGAGAGUGCUUCGGGGGAGAUGCGGUCUAAGUCCAUUGGAACAUGGCGUCCUAGAGGGUGAGAAUCCCGUAUGUGACCGUGGCUCGAACCCAUGUGAAGCCUCUUCGACGAGUCGAGUUGUUUGGGAAUGCAGCUCAAAAUGGGUGGUAAAUUUCAUCUAAAGCUAAAUACUGGCUGGAGACCGAUAGCGCACAAGUAGAGUGAUCGAAAGAUGAAAAGCACUUUGGAAAGAGAGUUAAAAAGUACGUGAAAUUGUUGAAAGGGAAGCGCUGGCAACCAGACCUGCCCGUAGGCGAUCAGCCGCUGUUCUCAGCGGUGCACUCGCUCUGCGAUCAGGCCAGCAUCGGUUCCGGCGGUCGGAUAAAGGCCUUGGGAAUGUACCUUCCCUUCGGGGGAGUCUUAUAGCCCUUGGUGCAAUGCGGCCAGCCGGGACCGAGGACCGCGCUUCGGCUAGGAUGCUGGCGUAAUGGUUGUCAGCGACCCGUCUUGAAACACGGACCAAGGAGUCUAACAUCUAUGCGAGUGUUUGGGUGUUAAACCCAUGCGCGGAAUGAAAGUGAACGGAGGUGAGAACCCUUAAGGGCGCAUCAUCGACCGAUCCAGAUGUCUUCGGAUGGAUUUGAGUAUGAGCAUAGCUGUUGGGACCCGAAAGAUGGUGAACUAUGCCUGAAUAGGGUGAAGCCAGAGGAAACUCUGGUGGAGGCUCGCAGCGGUUCUGACGUGCAAAUCGAUCGUCAAA